Small nuclear RNA from Cricetulus griseus (Chinese hamster), 107 nucleotides. The record is from Ensembl. NCBI's taxonomy places the organism in Eukaryota, Metazoa, Chordata, Mammalia, Rodentia, Cricetidae.
GUGCUCACUUCGGCAUCACAUAAACUAAAAUUGGAAUGAUACAGAGAAGAUUAGCAUGGCCCCUGUGCAAGGAUGACACACAAACAUGUGAAAUGUUCCAUUAUUUU